GUACGAGGAUCGCCGUGCAGAGUGGGUCACCAACGAGGCAGGCUUCAGCCAUAGCCACCAGCACGGUUUCGGCCUGCUCAACGCCUGGAGGCUCGUGAAUGCAGCCAAGAUCUGGACAUCUGUCCCUUAUUUAGCAUCCUACGUCAGUCCCGUGUUAAAAGAAAACAAGGCGAUUCCACAGUCCCCUCGUUCCCUGGAGGUCCUGUGGAAUGGAUGGACCUGGAGAUGUCGGGGCUGAAGACCCUGGAGCAUGUGGCUGUGACAGUCUCCAUCACUCACCCACGGCGCGGCAGCUUGGAGCUGAAGCUGUUCUGCCCCAGCGGAAUGAUGUCCCUCAUCGGCGCCCCCCGCAGCAUGGACUCGGAUCCCAACGGCUUCAAUGACUGGACCUUCUCCACCGUGCGAUGCUGGGGGGAGAGAGCCCGAGGGACCUACAGGCUUGUCAUCAGGGAUGUCGGGUUGCCAUUGGACCAAGAGGGUUGAUGCCAAGAGUGUGCCCCAUCCAUGAAAUGGGCAUUGCUAUCUGAAACUGUUCAUUUAUACUACCUCU
RNAcentral lists this small RNA (550 nucleotides) under Pongo abelii (Sumatran orangutan). Its description in RNAcentral is "processed transcript". The record is from RNAcentral. Lineage: Eukaryota; Metazoa; Chordata; Mammalia; Primates; Hominidae.